AUACUCAUAUGUACUUCGGCUAAACCAAAAAAGCUUUGAGAAGCAAGAAGAAGCACGGUUAGUGUUUUGGAGUCGAAUAUGACUUGAUGUGAUGUGUAUGAUUGAGUAUAAGAACUUAAACUGCAACAGGAGCUUAAAAGCCUAAGUAAUGUUUCCUUGUUAGAAGAUACAAAGCCAAAGACUCAUACGGAUUUUAGCUACACCAUCAAAGCUUUGAGAAGCAAGAACAAACUUGGUUAGUGUUUUGGAGUCAAAUAUGACUAGAUGUCAUGUGUAUGAGUGAGUAUAACAACUAGAAU
Molecule: small RNA, 299 nt
Filed under: Arabidopsis thaliana (thale cress)
Lineage: Eukaryota; Viridiplantae; Streptophyta; Magnoliopsida; Brassicales; Brassicaceae
Description: ATSL268860
Source: RNAcentral